This 517-nucleotide ribosomal RNA is filed under the name Halorubrum sp. RNAcentral's name for it is "bacterial SSU rRNA". It matches the Rfam family "Archaeal small subunit ribosomal RNA", at positions 326 to 844 of the family's 1478-position model. The record is from RNAcentral. Lineage: Archaea; Methanobacteriati; Methanobacteriota; Halobacteria; Halobacteriales; Haloferacaceae.
CGUGGUGCAGCAGGCGCGAAACCUUUACACUGCACGACAGUGCGAUAAGGGAAUCCCAAGUGCGUAGGCAUAGAGCCUACGCUUUUGUCUACCGUAGGGAGGUAGACGAAUAAGGGCUGGGCAAGACCGGUGCCAGCCGCCGCGGUAAUACCGGCAGCCCGAGUGAUGGCCGAUCUUAUUGAGCCUAAAGCGUCCGUAGCUGGCCGCGCAAGUCUAUCGGAAAAUCCACCCGCUCAACGGGUGGGCGUCCGGUAGAAACUGCGUGGCUUGGGACCGGAAGGCGCGACGGGUACGUCCGGGGUAGGAGUGAAAUCCUGUAAUCCUGGACGGACCGCCGAUGGCGAAAGCACGUCGCGAAGACGGAUCCGACAGUGAGGGACGAAAGCUAGGGUCUCGAACCGGAUUAGAUACCCGGGUAGUCCUAGCCGUAAACAAUGCCUGUUAGGUGUGGCUCCCACUACGAGUGGGUGCUGUGCCGUAGGGAAGCCGCUAAACAGGCCGCCUGGAAGUACUCCGC